This 497-nucleotide ribosomal RNA is filed under the name uncultured bacterium. Its description in RNAcentral is "partial 16S ribosomal RNA". It matches the Rfam family "Bacterial small subunit ribosomal RNA", at positions 28 to 507 of the family's 1533-position model. The record is from RNAcentral.
GAUGAACGCUGGCGGCGUGCCUAAUACAUGCAAGUCGAGCGAACGGACGAGAAGCUUGCUUCUCUGAUGUUAGCGGCGGACGGGUGAGUAACACGUGGAUAACCUACCUAUAAGACUGGGAUAACUUCGGGAAACCGGAGCUAAUACCGGAUAAUAUUUUGAACCGCAUGGUUCAAAAGUGAAAGACGGUCUUGCUGUCACUUAUAGAUGGAUCCGCGCUGCAUUAGCUAGUUGGUAAGGUAACGGCUUACCAAGGCAACGAUGCAUAGCCGACCUGAGAGGGGGGUCGGCCAACACGGAAACGAGAACAGGUUCCGACUCCUAAGGGAGGCCGCCGGAGGGAAAUCUCCGGAAUGGGGGGAAGCCUGACGGAGCAAAGCCGGGUGAGUGAUGAAGGGUCUCCGAUCGGAAAAACUUGGUAAUAGGGAAGAAAAAUUUGGGAAGUAACUGUGCACAACCUGACGGUAACCAAUCAAAAAGGCACGGCCAAACUAGGG